CUGGCGGGGUGCUAAUAAUGCAGUCGAGCGAACCGAUUAAAAGCUUGCUUUUAUGAGGUUAGCGGCGGACGGAUGAGUAACACGUGGGCAACCUGCCCUAUAGACUGGGAUAACUCGCGGAAACGCGUGCUAAUACCGGAUAAUACAAUGAAGUGCCUGCUUCAUUGUUGAAAGAUGGCUUUUGCUAUCACUAUAGGAUGGGCCCGCGGCGCAUUAGCUAGUUGGUGGGGUAACGGCCUACCAAGGCGACGAUGCGUAGCCGACCUGAGAGGGUGAUCGGCCACACUGGGACUGAGACACGGCCCAGACUCCUACGGGAGGCAGCAGUAGGGAAUCUUCCACAAUGGACGGAAGUCUGAUGGAGCAACGCCGCGUGAGCGAAGAAGGUCUUCGGAUCGUAAAGCUCUGUUGUAAGGGAAGAAUAAGUACAGUAGUAACUGGCUGUACCUUGACGGUACCUUACGAGAAAGCCACGGCUAACUACGUGCCAGCAGCCGCGGUAAUACGUAGGUGGCAAGCGUUGUCCGGAAUUAUUGGGCGUAAAGCGCGCGCAGGCGGCCUUUUAAGUCUGAUGUGAAAGCCCCCGGCUUAACCGGGGAGGGUCAUUGGAAACUGGGAGGCUUGAGUGCAGAAGAGGAAAGUGGAAUUCCAAGUGUAGCGGUGAAAUGCGUAGAGAUUUGGAGGAACACCAGUGGCGAAGGCGACUUUCUGGUCUGUUACUGACGCUGAGCGCGAAAGCGUGGGGAGCAACAGGAUUAGAUACCCUGGUAGUCCACGCCGUAAACGAUGAGUGCUAGUGUUAGGGGGUUUCCGCCCCUUAGUGCUGCAGCUAACGCAAUAAGGCACCUCCCGCCUGGGGGGAGUU
RNAcentral lists this ribosomal RNA (865 nucleotides) under uncultured bacterium. RNAcentral describes it as "bacterial SSU rRNA". It matches the Rfam family "Bacterial small subunit ribosomal RNA", at positions 36 to 884 of the family's 1533-position model. The record is from RNAcentral.